AGGGAUGUAGCCAAGUGGUUUAAGGCAUCGGCCUUUGGAGCCGACAUUCGCAGGUUCGAAUCCUGCCAUCCCUGCUA
This 77-nucleotide transfer RNA is filed under the name Ignavibacteria bacterium. RNAcentral describes it as "tRNA-Gln". It matches the Rfam family "tRNA". From Rfam's summary of the family: Transfer RNA (tRNA) molecules are approximately 80 nucleotides in length. Their secondary structure includes four short double-helical elements and three loops (D, anti-codon, and T loops). Lineage: Bacteria; Pseudomonadati; Ignavibacteriota; Ignavibacteria. RNAcentral also lists the same sequence under 3 other names. The record is from RNAcentral.